Long non-coding RNA from Ochotona princeps (American pika), 706 nucleotides. RefSeq lists it as uncharacterized. The transcript is spliced from 3 exons. The record is from RefSeq and is a predicted model, not a curated record. NCBI's taxonomy places the organism in Eukaryota, Metazoa, Chordata, Mammalia, Lagomorpha, Ochotonidae.
UAUCCGAGUGUAGCAUCAAGGCCUACCUGAACAGGUUACACAUGCUGUCCUUGUCACCUGCUUGUCCUCCUAAGGAGACUUUUUGCGGCCUCUCUUUGUUGACUUUUCACUAGUGCACCCGGAAGAUAAUUCGCUUACUGUCCUGACCCAGCUGAGGACUCGAGUACAUCUCCAGAAAGCAAGAAGGUAAGCAUUAAGGCUGUUUGGCUUUCCAACGAACGGACUUUUCCUUUUUCUCCUAGUUUUUUCAGCAUACUGCUCCUGGCAGGAAAACUACCUGUGGAGGAUAUGUGGGGCCAUGAUGACCAUCCUUCUGCCUCUCUGGGGACCCCGGGGGGGGUGUUUCACCCCUCCACUCAUCAUUGAGAAUCUACUACACGUCAAGCUCUGUUCUGGGAUACCUCAGUGAACAAGACAAGGGCCUCGUGGUGCUUCAUUCUAAUGGAAGAAGAAAGAAAAUACUAGCAAACCAACAUGGCCAAACACCUGCCCUCAGUGUGGCUUGUCAGAUGGUUAUCACAUCCUGUCAUGUGCCUCCAAUGAUGACCACAAGCUCCAUGAAAUCUGGCCCUGGGUUUAUUCCUUCUGCUCGACCUUCAUUUCCUCCUCUACUCACCGGGCCCCAGCCACACUUGCCAGCCCGUGUCCCGUAAGUUUGCCAAUAUGAUCUUACCCAGGCCCUUGGCACUUGUGAUUGCUACCUAGA